AUCUGCCCCCCGCGGGCACAGAAAUGGGGGGGGGGGGUUACCCUUCGGCCUCACGGGCAGUGUCUGAGCGGGACACGGGGCGUGGGGCUCACGGGAGCACCCUGGGGGCUCCGCAGAGCACAGGUGGGACCCCCCAGUACCACUCGUGGGCAGCUCCCGUGCGCUCUGCCGCACCGUGCCGGGGCUGGGGGUGUGGGAGCAGCUCCCCCACGCGUGGGCACAGAGCCAGCAGCAGCACCGGGGCAGAGCCGGCCUGAGGGUCCCGUCCUGUCCCAUCCCGUCCCUUCCCUUGGGCACGAGGCAGCCGGAGCGGGGUCGUGCUGCUGUGGCAUGUGAGCAGCGGGCUGACAGCCUGCGGUGCUGCUCACGCUUGGGCAAUAUCCGGGCGUUCCCGUGGCUGCCAGCGAAGGCAUCCCAGGCUGGGUGGGGAAGGGAAGCCCAGCGCUGUCACUGGCUCCUGCGAGCACUCAGGUGCUAAUUAGCACCACGUUGGCAAAGCCAGCACGUGCUCGGGAUUAUGUGAGACGUGAGCCAGACGGAAAGCUAGCUCCUGGCUGGGCCACCCUCACGCUGCCUACGAGCUCUGUUUUAUAUAACUGGGAGAUAAUUAGCUAUCUGCAUCACAAGUGCAAGGCCAGAGACAGCUCAGUGAGACACCAGCCCCGGGGCAGACCGCCUGCUGCGUGUGGGCACCCACCGCCUCUCCCACUGGCCCAGAGUUCAGCCACUGCUAUCCCAAGGCCGAAACCCGGGGUUCUCCUGCCCGGGCCGCGCUGGGGGUGGCCGGCACCCAGCUCACUGCUGGAGGCUGCCGAGCUGCUGCGCGAGCCCCGGCCCGGAGCUGGGCAGGGCCGUGCUCCCUGCCGUCCACAGAUUUCAGCAGCUGCUCUUGCUGCAACACUUCCUUUGGGUUUACAAAUCAGUUCGGGGGCAGACGGUGAAGUGAAACCCAGAGGGGAGCAGCCGGAGCGCAGCGCUGUGCGGGGGGGCAGGGAGAAAGGAGAGGGCACGGAGCUGCUGGGGCCCAGGGCGGCUGCUGCUUCUCACCAAGCACUCAGGGAGCCGCGGCCCCGCGGCCCUGGCACGCAGAGAUAAGCGCUCCAGACGUCCCAGAGAGCCCAAGGCCAGGAGCCGGCGCGGCGUGGUGUGCUCACAGAGCUCUGCUUUGCCUGCUGCUGUCUCGAGGCCCUGGCAGCCAUGCGAGAGCCUGGGCAGCGUGACGCCGUGGGCAGCGCGAUGCCGUGGGCUGCGCUCCUGCCAUCGGAGGAUUCGCGACCCGCAGGCAGCAAGUCAGCUCCGGGCUGUGUCAGCGAGCCGCCGGCCACCCCGCGCCCGCACUGCUGGGCGCCGCCGCGAGCUCACAGAAGAGGAAUGGCGUGUCACAGGGCAGGGCAGGGGCUGGCUGAACUCCGCGGCGGAAGGCAGGCGUCCCAAAAGCAUCAUGUGAGCUGUCUCCGUGGCCGGAUUGCCAGAGAAGUUGAUCACGCAGUCUGGCAGGCGUGCAGGCCACCGAGGGGAUAGGGAUGAAAGAAAAACACCGCGUGGGCAUGCGAGCCUCAGGGGAACCACGUGGCAGCCCGGAGAGAAAACAAAUGCAAAACAGCCACAGUCGUGCAGCAAUUAGGUGCCCUCGCUGCAGACGCUGUGCCGGCUGGUCAUCCAGAAGCACGUCGUGCACCGCCUGGCCAUCGACGGCUUGGACCUGCCCCCGCCGCUGAAGCACUUCUGCAAACACGAGUGAGGUGCCUGCGCCCCGCA
Cygnus olor (mute swan) is the source of this 1758-nucleotide RNA transcript. It is a transcript of the gene named neuralized E3 ubiquitin protein ligase 2, with no coding region annotated. The transcript is spliced from 2 exons. The record is from RefSeq and is a predicted model, not a curated record. NCBI's taxonomy places the organism in Eukaryota, Metazoa, Chordata, Aves, Anseriformes, Anatidae.